Molecule: RNA transcript, 7017 nt
Organism: Anguilla anguilla (European eel)
Lineage: Eukaryota; Metazoa; Chordata; Actinopteri; Anguilliformes; Anguillidae
Gene: adam11
Gene name: ADAM metallopeptidase domain 11
Exons: 27
Source: RefSeq, a predicted model, not a curated record
GGUGACAGCGAGAGAAAAGAGGAGGGCGCACGCGAUCCCACGUGCUCUCGCCAACGCGGAUUCGAUGCUCUUCUGUUCAUUUUCUAUCCACUGUUUCCAGCACCGCAGAGGCAGUGAAGACGGACCGCAUAGCGUACACACGCACUGCCCUCCACCCUUGCUGGAAAACAUGUCUGUGCACAUAGUAUUUCCCCCUUUUCACACCUUUUAAUUUUUGGUUUUCCAUUUUCUGACGCGUUCCUGCUUCCUGUUUUCUGAACCACAAUGACGCUUCUCAGCUUUGACUUCAAUUUUUUUAUGACUAAAAGCACUGGGGAAAUGAGAGGGGACCGUUAAAGGUUUAAUUGCUGCUCUAUUUUUCAUCGUCAUCGGCUGUUCAUCCGUGUUUUUCCCCUCAUUUUGUACAUUUAUUCCUUGCACUUCAUGCAAAUCCGGGGGACUAUGUGAACAUCAUGCUGGCGCUGCGAUGCCUGGUGUUUGCUGCAGUGAGUGCACGGUUUGCCGUGACAGGCUGGAGCAGCUCCGUGAUGCGGGAUGCGGUUGUGUGGGAACGGGCAGCACCGGAGCAACGAGGAGAGCGCAGCGGGGCUGUGGAGGAAAUCAUCAAGCCCAAACGGCUGGUACAGCAGAUCGACUCGGAGGGAGAGAUCGUACAUGGCCAUCUGGACACCCGGGUGAAGAACCACUCCGAGGGCGCACAACCUGUCCAUUUGGCUCAAAGCAGUUUUCUGAUCGAGGCCUUUGGCAGCUCCUUCGUCCUGGACCUGGAGUUAAACCACAACCUCCUUUCCUCCGACUACGUGGAGCGGCACUUUGACGAGGAUGGGAAGCCCUUGCAGACUGUGGGAGGUGAGCAUUGCUAUUAUCAUGGGAAGGUUCGAGAUGUGCCCGGUUCCUGGGUUGCUCUUUCCACCUGUCACGGCCUGAGAGGAAUGUUUUCUGAUGGGAAUUUCUCCUACGGGAUUGAGCCAGUUCUGGAAGACAGCGACAAGGAAGAGGAGGCGCAUUUGGUGCGCAGGAUGCCCAAGCUGGAGCUGGCCCCACUGUGUCCAGGCUGCAAGCAGAACAGCAGUGACAGUAACGCUGACACCGAUGGCGGGAACGGCAGCGAUGGCGACAGUGACAUCUUCUUUCAACUGGAAGAGGAACCUGCCUUCGCCGAGGGGCUGCGCCGCUCAAAGAGACAGGUGCGCCGGAACCAGCAUACAGUCCAGAGUGAGACCAAGUAUAUUGAGCUGAUGGUGGUCAAUGACCAUGAGUUGUAUUUGCAUAUGAGAAAAUCAGCCUCCCAGACCAGGAACUUUGCCAAAGCUGUGGUCAACAUGGCAGAUGCGAUCUACAAGGAACAGCUGAACACCAGGAUCGUUCUGGUUGCCAUGGAAACGUGGUCAUCACAGAACAUGGUCUCCGUUGGUGAUGACCCCCUGCUGACCCUGCGUGACUUCAUGAAAUACAGGAAAGAAAACAUAAAGGAACACAGCGAUACAGCACACCUCCUCUCGGGACGCACCUUCCAGAGCAGCCGCAGCGGGACGGCCUACAUUGGGGGCAUCUGCUCUCUCACUCGGGGAGGCGGAGUCAAUGAGUACGGGAACGUGGGUCCGAUGGCCAUCACGCUGUGCCAGAGCCUGGGUCAGAACAUCGGCAUGAUGUGGAACAAGGAACGCACAGCAGCAGGGGACUGUAAAUGCCCGGACCCUUGGUUGGGUUGUAUCAUGGAGGACACAGGAUUCUACCUACCCCGGAAGUUUGCUCGCUGCAGCGUGGACGAGUACAUCCGCUUCCUGCAGGCAGGAGGCGGCAGCUGCCUCUUCAACAAGCCCAAUAAGCUAUUGGACCCUCCGGAGUGUGGGAAUGGUUUUGUGGAGACUGGCGAGGAAUGCGACUGUGGAUCGCAAGUGGAGUGUUUGCGGAGCGGGGGCGCGUGCUGUAAGAAGUGCACUCUGACUCACGACGCCAUGUGCAGCAACGGACUGUGCUGUCGGGGCUGCAUGUACGAGCUGAGGGGAGUGGUGUGCCGGGAAGCUGUGAAUGACUGUGACAUAGCAGAGACCUGCACUGGAGACUCCAGCCAGUGCCCUCACAAUGUCCACAAGUUGGAUGGGUACACGUGUGACAACAGUCAGGGCCGGUGUUACGGAGGUCGCUGUAAAACUCGAGACAGACAGUGCAUGGGGCUCUGGGGCCAUCGUUCAGCGGACCGUUUCUGUUAUGAGAAGCUGAACACCGAGGGCACAGAGAAGGGAAACUGUGGGCAUGACGCCAGCGGGCAGGGCUGGGUGCAGUGCAGCAAGCAGGAUGUUUUGUGCGGGUUCCUGCUUUGCGCUAACAUGUCAGCGAAACCAAAGUUUGGGGAUCUGCAGGGUGAGGUGACCAGCCUUACCAUCUACCACCAGAACAAGUACCUGGACUGUCGUGGUGGCCACGCCCUGCUGGAGGACGGCUCGGACCUGGGCUAUGUGGAAGACGGCACUCCCUGUGGGCCCAACAUGAUGUGCCUGGACCACCGCUGCCUCCCUCUAGCCACCUUCAACCUCAGCGCCUGCCCGGGCACGCCCCCCCUCUCCACCUGUUCACACCACGGGACGUGCAGUAAUGAAGUGAAGUGUAUCUGUGACCGGGACUACACAGGGAAAGACUGCAGUAUCAGGGACCCCAUUCCUGACCCCAAACCCCCAGAAGACCCUAUAUCUAAGGUCUGCCAAUGAAACAAGGCAUUUUGGCAAUUUACUUGCACAGAGCACGUUCUCUCCCCAAUCAAGAGGGUGUCCAGCAGAGAGAAAGAGAAAGAGGGGGAGAGACAGGCAGAAAAACAUCCGAAGAGGAAGAUCUGGUGGAGGAUAGUAUAUCUGUCUGCUCUUCUGUCUUCCUUGCACUGUGUCCUUUUACUUAGAAGAAGAAGAGAAGUCUUCCACUCUUUACAGAACUACAACUCCCACUGUUCUUUUCAUUAUUUUCUCUCCUCCUCUAUCAGAUAUUCUGUCUUUACUUCCAGACUGUGUCUCUGGCCUUCAGCGGACUCUCUAACAUGCAUUCCAGCCGCAUACUGCCAGUUGAUCCACACAGGUGUUGGCAGCCCCUCUAGUGUCCAGGGCCAAACCUUUUUUACUCUGCCAGCGGCCUUCAAAUGGUGACAGGGUACGCUCCCUGAGCGGCAAUGUCCCAAGGCUUAGUUUUUUUUGUUUGUUUUUGCUCUAGAUGGUCACUCUUGAAUGUUAAGUGGACACAAGGGAUAAAUAUCUCACAAACUGUAUUGACCAAACAACUCAAAAUGCAGGUCUCACCAUAUUUUUAGCUCUUUUGAAAUACUGGUACAGACUGUCUACCUGACUGACUAACUUACUUACUCAGUGGAGCAUUGUUAAGCUGCCAGUUUUUAUGUGUUAAAAUUCUGAAGGUGGCCAUUGUGGUUUGUAUCAGUGAUGGAACAGGAAGACCCAAGAAACUCUUGCCUUAUUUCAAUCUAAUUCCUGUCUGAAGUCUUCACUGAUGCACUGAACCACUCACUGAUGGCUGUGGAUAAGGUUUUUUAUCUUUUGCACUCAUAGUGUUGUUGGUAUUUACUUUUUAAUUCUGGUGAACCUGGAGGUGCUGUGAAAAUGGUUAACAAGGCAGGUUAUGUAUGAUGAAGCUGAUCAGAUAUUAGGAAGAUGGCUUAUUUGUCUCUGUGUUUGUCAAAUAUAGAUAAGUCCAUAGAGCAGUCCCGGCUGUGGGACCUCCCUUCUCUCAGAAAUCCAAACAGAAGCCAUUUCAUCAGGUAUUCUUAAAGAGGGCAACAUGGACAUGCUUUGCUCCUGUAUUUUGGUAAUGGCUACAUUCCUUUACAGUUUGCCCUGAUGUCUGUUUAAAAGCAAAGCUGGGAAGGAAGGGCAUUUUUCUGUAGGCUGUUUCCAAAGAAAGAUAAAGGACCCUUCAGUACCCCAGGUGUUAUGACAGUGUGGCUAUGCGAAUGACUCGUGAAAAUAAGACCCUCUUCUGUGUACUUUAAUCCUAGGCGUAUCUACUAACAUUCCACAAUUAGUGUAAGAAAAUAUUUCUAUAUGCAUAUUGUACAUUUACUCUGCUUUUUAAAAAUUAUUUGUCUGUAACAUGUCACCUACAGCAUCAUAGUGAUCCAGUAUGACAUGCAUAAAUGUGCGAAUGUGUGUUUGCAACUGUGAAUGCGUGUAUGCAUGUGUGUGUCUCUGUGUAUAUACAUUGAUAUAUACACAUAGAUAGAUAGCUAGAUAGAUAGACAAUUACACAUUCAUAUAUUAAAUAAUAUUUAUUAUAUAAUCCAUUAAUGGUAGGAGUAUGCAUACGUGUAUGUGAAACAUGUGUGCAUUUGUAUAUAAUGUAUAUAAGAGCAGCCCAAGUGUUUUUAGAGGACUGUACAGCUGAAGUGAUCAGUCUUGUAAGCACAAGUAUGUGAGUGAAUAUUUACAUCCUUAAACCUCUGUGCUCCAUGCACUGAAGUGACGUAUGCAGUUUUUCAAACUAUUGCCAGAUUAAGUGGUGUCUGAGGAUGGCCUGUAUUUGGUUUUGUAUGUUUAUUCUCGCAUUUGACAUAUUGUAAUUACAUAAAAUGUAACUAUUAAUUAUGACAAAUACAGUUGCAGAAUAGAGUACAGUACGUACAAUUUCACAUGGAAGAUUUAAGCUAAAUUUAAUGUUGCUGAGUGCAACUGUUUGCAUUUGGAGAGUGUUCUGUGUCUAUAAAAGAGGACAACAUUACAUGUAGGCCUAUACAUGUUAACAGUGGUGAAUCCUGGGAGUGCCUUGCACAAAGACUUUACUUCUUAGGGUAAACCAGGUAAUGGACAAAUUGUAUUAUCCACAGUUGUGAGCUGCCACUGGCCUCAUAUACAAGUGAUGGAGGGAAAUUAUCUGCUGUGGAAACACUGCCAGGCAGAUAUAGUAUUGAAUUUAGCAUUCGCUUGCGUAUACUAGGUAUUAAUAACUGUAGUGAAAUGGUGCAAGUCACACGGUUUGCUUUGCACUCCCUGCUAUCUCAGUGCGCCCACCACUGUGCCCUCCAUCUGUCCAUGCUGUUGUACAGUUUACUGAAAACAAAUCCUCUCUAAAUAUUGCGUUGUAGGCUUACAGACCCAAGGAUCUACAGGUUCUGCAUGUAGUCAGGCCCUGAUCUGCCUGCAAAGCACCUAUCGGUUACAAGCUCUGGCCAGCUUCUACAAGUCCGUGACAGUGUGGGCUUGUCAGAGUCAAUGUGGUCACCAUGGAAUUCUUGAAUGUGAAGUAAAUUUUUAAACAACAGGAUUCUACAUGUGAUUAUAUGUACUAUAUGCUGUUUGCUAUUAUUCCAUCAGUACUCAGACACCCACAGGUCAUCUUGGUCACAUGGUGUGGCUGUUUCAUACAAUGUGCUCAGAUCAUUUAAAAGUGAAACUCUGUUCCUGUUCUUGACAUAUAAUGAAUGUUCUUAAGGACCUUCUGGCUUUAAAGGGGAGUGUUAAUGAUUUGCUCAUUCUGAGAAUAGGAAACUUUCUUUUUGCCUGUGUACCUGCGAGACCUGGGCCAGGCAUAGCAUUUACAAAACACAUUUAAGGUUGGAUCUGCUCUUUUACUGGAUAUGAGGUCCUUUCUAAAUAGAGAAAUGCCAGGUAAAGGGUGAAGAUUCAAAAUGGUUGCUUACAGAAACUGUCAGGGUCACAUCUGCUGUUUCAGCCUGUUUACUCCAGCAUGGCUGGACUAGGGUCUUCAGCACUGCAUUUAUUUCUGACUUCUGUCUGCAUUAUCUGUGUGCCUUCUGAUUCCCUGCUCUAUCAUACUCAACGGUUUAUCACUGAAUACAGUUAUUUCCUUACACAAGCAGGGCCAAUGCUGGUGAUGUCCCUUUGUUUGGGCAUGUACUGUAUAACAGAACAUCCAGUAAAGAGAACCCAUAUGCUAGUUUUGUGAAUGCGUCUUUGUGUACCCUGUGAGAAAACAAAAUGCAACAAAGCAAUCAAUGGAAAUAUAGACAAUAUACAUUUUGAAAUCUGUCAUUUUGGAUAAUAAUGAGGAAUGAAGCCACACCUUGGCCAUCUGUAUGAACCUUUAACCCUAGAGGAAAUUUCAACAUUUCAAAACAAACAAUUUCACUCAUGUAACACCCCCUGUAUUCUGUAAUUGUACUAUUCUUGAUUACAUAUGAGAACUAUAAGAUGAUGCUCAUACUCAGAAUUUUUAAGGUGGACUUUUGUGACUUGGGCUCUCAAAUACAUGUGAAUGUAGUCUAGUCUAAAAGAGAAGAUUAUUUGCCCAAAAACUGAAUUAUUGGGUGUCCUGCAUAUUCACAAAAUAGAUUCCUAGUCCAGCAGCAGGCAAGACUGCCACUGUCUGCACUAAAUGUAAACGUUUUGCUGAUUAAAUACAAACCAUGGUAACUAUGACUUAAAGCAGGGAUGUUAUGUAAAAAUGUCUGUAUCUUUCUGCUUUUGAAUUUUGUCAAAAUACUUGGUGUUGUGAAACAGCAACACUUUAAAAGGAGCACAAAACAGGCUUUUGUACAAGUGACCUGAGUGUGAUUACUGUAUAUAUACACAUCUUUGUAUAUAUACACUUAUAAAGGAUACAUUUAUAAUGUACAGUAAUGUUAUACACAAACUCUGUAUGCAUAUAUUACAUAUAUGGAGCUGAGUAUGAUCAUACUCUCAAUCUCUCAGAUAUGUACCUAUCUAUCUAAAAUAUCUAUCUGUUCAUAUCCAUCAUACUCAACUCACAACAUUGUAUAUUUGUUGAUAGCUCUUAACGACCUGGUCACCGAUACCCAGGUGACUUAAUGUAUAUAUAAAAUGCGCUUUGAACAUGAAGUAUUUGUUGCUGGUUGACUACUUGGGUGAAAGGGUGGACACAUUAUUUCUCUGAGGUAUGGUUCAGUUCAUUUACCUAUUUUGUCAUCUGACAAAAGUGGUGUCUCGCCCAAGCAGUCAACCUCCUAUUUUUAACUUUUUAACUGAAGGACAGUUGACACCACUACAAUUCAACUGUGAAUUGAUACUUAAAAAGAGAAAAUAAAAUCAAAAAGCAAAAAUGAAA